Molecule: ribosomal RNA, 1554 nt
Filed under: Salmonella enterica subsp. enterica serovar Infantis
Lineage: Bacteria; Pseudomonadati; Pseudomonadota; Gammaproteobacteria; Enterobacterales; Enterobacteriaceae
Also listed under: 6 other names
Description: bacterial SSU rRNA
Rfam family: Bacterial small subunit ribosomal RNA
Source: RNAcentral
AAAUUGAAGAGUUUGAUCAUGGCUCAGAUUGAACGCUGGCGGCAGGCCUAACACAUGCAAGUCGAACGGUAACAGGAAGCAGCUUGCUGCUUCGCUGACGAGUGGCGGACGGGUGAGUAAUGUCUGGGAAACUGCCUGAUGGAGGGGGAUAACUACUGGAAACGGUGGCUAAUACCGCAUAACGUCGCAAGACCAAAGAGGGGGACCUUCGGGCCUCUUGCCAUCAGAUGUGCCCAGAUGGGAUUAGCUUGUUGGUGAGGUAACGGCUCACCAAGGCGACGAUCCCUAGCUGGUCUGAGAGGAUGACCAGCCACACUGGAACUGAGACACGGUCCAGACUCCUACGGGAGGCAGCAGUGGGGAAUAUUGCACAAUGGGCGCAAGCCUGAUGCAGCCAUGCCGCGUGUAUGAAGAAGGCCUUCGGGUUGUAAAGUACUUUCAGCGGGGAGGAAGGUGUUGUGGUUAAUAACCGCAGCAAUUGACGUUACCCGCAGAAGAAGCACCGGCUAACUCCGUGCCAGCAGCCGCGGUAAUACGGAGGGUGCAAGCGUUAAUCGGAAUUACUGGGCGUAAAGCGCACGCAGGCGGUCUGUCAAGUCGGAUGUGAAAUCCCCGGGCUCAACCUGGGAACUGCAUUCGAAACUGGCAGGCUUGAGUCUUGUAGAGGGGGGUAGAAUUCCAGGUGUAGCGGUGAAAUGCGUAGAGAUCUGGAGGAAUACCGGUGGCGAAGGCGGCCCCCUGGACAAAGACUGACGCUCAGGUGCGAAAGCGUGGGGAGCAAACAGGAUUAGAUACCCUGGUAGUCCACGCCGUAAACGAUGUCUACUUGGAGGUUGUGCCCUUGAGGCGUGGCUUCCGGAGCUAACGCGUUAAGUAGACCGCCUGGGGAGUACGGCCGCAAGGUUAAAACUCAAAUGAAUUGACGGGGGCCCGCACAAGCGGUGGAGCAUGUGGUUUAAUUCGAUGCAACGCGAAGAACCUUACCUGGUCUUGACAUCCACAGAACUUUCCAGAGAUGGAUUGGUGCCUUCGGGAACUGUGAGACAGGUGCUGCAUGGCUGUCGUCAGCUCGUGUUGUGAAAUGUUGGGUUAAGUCCCGCAACGAGCGCAACCCUUAUCCUUUGUUGCCAGCGGUCCGGCCGGGAACUCAAAGGAGACUGCCAGUGAUAAACUGGAGGAAGGUGGGGAUGACGUCAAGUCAUCAUGGCCCUUACGACCAGGGCUACACACGUGCUACAAUGGCGCAUACAAAGAGAAGCGACCUCGCGAGAGCAAGCGGACCUCAUAAAGUGCGUCGUAGUCCGGAUUGGAGUCUGCAACUCGACUCCAUGAAGUCGGAAUCGCUAGUAAUCGUGGAUCAGAAUGCCACGGUGAAUACGUUCCCGGGCCUUGUACACACCGCCCGUCACACCAUGGGAGUGGGUUGCAAAAGAAGUAGGUAGCUUAACCUUCGGGAGGGCGCUUACCACUUUGUGAUUCAUGACUGGGGUGAAGUCGUAACAAGGUAACCGUAGGGGAACCUGCGGUUGGAUCACCUCCUUACCUUAAAGAAGC